GCCUGUAUAGCUCAGCUGGUCAGAGCACCCGCUUCACACGCGGGAGGUCCGGGGUUCAAAGCCCUGUGCAGGCA
RNAcentral lists this transfer RNA (74 nucleotides) under Paenarthrobacter sp. YJN-5. It matches the Rfam family "tRNA". Rfam says of the family: Transfer RNA (tRNA) molecules are approximately 80 nucleotides in length. Lineage: Bacteria; Bacillati; Actinomycetota; Actinomycetes; Micrococcales; Micrococcaceae. The record is from Rfam by way of RNAcentral.